GGGUUGUGAGGUUAAGCGACUAAGCGUACACGGUGGAUGCCCUGGCAGUCAGAGGCGAUGAAGGACGUGCUAAUCUGCGAUAAGCGUCGGUAAGGUGAUAUGAACCGUUAUAACCGGCGAUUUCCGAAUGGGGAAACCCAGUGUGUUUCGACACACUAUCAUUAACUGAAUCCAUAGGUUAAUGAGGCGAACCGGGGGAACUGAAACAUCUAAGUACCCCGAGGAAAAGAAAUCAACCGAGAUUCCCCCAGUAGCGGCGAGCGAACGGGGAGCAGCCCAGAGCCUGAAUCAGUGUGUGUGUUAGUGGAAGCGUCUGGAAAGGCGCGCGAUACAGGGUGACAGCCCCGUACACAAAAAUGCACAUGCUGUGAGCUCGAUGAGUAGGGCGGGACACGUGGUAUCCUGUCUGAAUAUGGGGGGACCAUCCUCCAAGGCUAAAUACUCCUGACUGACCGAUAGUGAACCAGUACCGUGAGGGAAAGGCGAAAAGAACCCCGGCGAGGGGAGUGAAAAAGAACCUGAAACCGUGUACGUACAAGCAGUGGGAGCACGCUUAGGCGUGUGACUGCGUACCUUUUGUAUAAUGGGUCAGCGACUUAUAUUCUGUAGCAAGGUUAACCGAAUAGGGGAGCCGAAGGGAAACCGAGUCUUAACUGGGCGUUAAGUUGCAGGGUAUAGACCCGAAACCCGGUGAUCUAGCCAUGGGCAGGUUGAAGGUUGGGUAACACUAACUGGAGGACCGAACCGACUAAUGUUGAAAAAUUAGCGGAUGACUUGUGGCUGGGGGUGAAAGGCCAAUCAAACCGGGAGAUAGCUGGUUCUCCCCGAAAGCUAUUUAGGUAGCGCCUCGUGAAUUCAUCUCCGGGGGUAGAGCACUGUUUCGGCAAGGGGGUCAUCCCGACUUACCAACCCGAUGCAAACUGCGAAUACCGGAGAAUGUUAUCACGGGAGACACACGGCGGGUGCUAACGUCCGUCGUGAAGAGGGAAACAACCCAGACCGCCAGCUAAGGUCCCAAAGUCAUGGUUAAGUGGGAAACGAUGUGGGAAGGCCCAGACAGCCAGGAUGUUGGCUUAGAAGCAGCCAUCAUUUAAAGAAAGCGUAAUAGCUCACUGGUCGAGUCGGCCUGCGCGGAAGAUGUAACGGGGCUAAACCAUGCACCGAAGCUGCGGCAGCGACGCUGAUGCGUUGUUGGGUAGGGGAGCGUUCUGUAAGCCUGCGAAGGUGUGCUGUGAGGCAUGCUGGAGGUAUCAGAAGUGCGAAUGCUGACAUAAGUAACGAUAAAGCGGGUGAAAAGCCCGCUCGCCGGAAGACCAAGGGUUCCUGUCCAACGUUAAUCGGGGCAGGGUGAGUCGACCCCUAAGGCGAGGCCGAAAGGCGUAGUCGAUGGGAAACAGGUUAAUAUUCCUGUACUUGGUGUUACUGCGAAGGGGGGACGGAGAAGGCUAUGUUGGCCGGGCGACGGUUGUCCCGGUUUAAGCGUGUAGGCUGGUUUUCCAGGCAAAUCCGGAAAAUCAAGGCUGAGGCGUGAUGACGAGGCACUACGGUGCUGAAGCAACAAAUGCCCUGCUUCCAGGAAAAGCCUCUAAGCAUCAGGUAACAUCAAAUCGUACCCCAAACCGACACAGGUGGUCAGGUAGAGAAUACCAAGGCGCUUGAGAGAACUCGGGUGAAGGAACUAGGCAAAAUGGUGCCGUAACUUCGGGAGAAGGCACGCUGAUAUGUAGGUGAAGUCCCUCGCGGAUGGAGCUGAAAUCAGUCGAAGAUACCAGCUGGCUGCAACUGUUUAUUAAAAACACAGCACUGUGCAAACACGAAAGUGGACGUAUACGGUGUGACGCCUGCCCGGUGCCGGAAGGUUAAUUGAUGGGGUUAGCCGCAAGGCGAAGCUCUUGAUCGAAGCCCCGGUAAACGGCGGCCGUAACUAUAACGGUCCUAAGGUAGCGAAAUUCCUUGUCGGGUAAGUUCCGACCUGCACGAAUGGCGUAAUGAUGGCCAGGCUGUCUCCACCCGAGACUCAGUGAAAUUGAACUCGCUGUGAAGAUGCAGUGUACCCGCGGCAAGACGGAAAGACCCCGUGAACCUUUACUAUAGCUUGACACUGAACAUUGAGCCUUGAUGUGUAGGAUAGGUGGGAGGCUUUGAAGUGUGGACGCCAGUCUGCAUGGAGCCGACCUUGAAAUACCACCCUUUAAUGUUUGAUGUUCUAACGUUGACCCGUAAUCCGGGUUGCGGACAGUGUCUGGUGGGUAGUUUGACUGGGGCGGUCUCCUCCUAAAGAGUAACGGAGGAGCACGAAGGUUGGCUAAUCCUGGUCGGACAUCAGGAGGUUAGUGCAAUGGCAUAAGCCAGCUUGACUGCGAGCGUGACGGCGCGAGCAGGUGCGAAAGCAGGUCAUAGUGAUCCGGUGGUUCUGAAUGGAAGGGCCAUCGCUCAACGGAUAAAAGGUACUCCGGGGAUAACAGGCUGAUACCGCCCAAGAGUUCAUAUCGACGGCGGUGUUUGGCACCUCGAUGUCGGCUCAUCACAUCCUGGGGCUGAAGUAGGUCCCAAGGGUAUGGCUGUUCGCCAUUUAAAGUGGUACGCGAGCUGGGUUUAGAACGUCGUGAGACAGUUCGGUCCCUAUCUGCCGUGGGCGCUGGAGAACUGAGGGGGGCUGCUCCUAGUACGAGAGGACCGGAGUGGACGCAUCACUGGUGUUCGGGUUGUCAUGCCAAUGGCACUGCCCGGUAGCUAAAUGCGGAAGAGAUAAGUGCUGAAAGCAUCUAAGCACGAAACUUGCCCCGAGAUGAGUUCUCCCUGACUCCUUGAGAGUCCUGAAGGAACGUUGAAGACGACGACGUUGAUAGGCCGGGUGUGUAAGCGCAGCGAUGCGUUGAGCUAACCGGUACUAAUGAACCGUGAGGCUUAACCUUACAACGCCGAAG
Molecule: ribosomal RNA, 2927 nt
Filed under: Escherichia coli
Lineage: Bacteria; Pseudomonadati; Pseudomonadota; Gammaproteobacteria; Enterobacterales; Enterobacteriaceae
Also listed under: 2 other names
Description: bacterial LSU rRNA
Rfam family: Bacterial large subunit ribosomal RNA
Source: RNAcentral